This 378-nucleotide RNase P RNA is filed under the name Alphaproteobacteria bacterium. RNAcentral's name for it is "RNase P RNA component class A". It matches the Rfam family "Bacterial RNase P class A". Rfam says of the family: Ribonuclease P (RNase P) is a ubiquitous endoribonuclease, found in archaea, bacteria and eukarya as well as chloroplasts and mitochondria. Its best characterised activity is the generation of mature 5'-ends of tRNAs by cleaving the 5'-leader elements of precursor-tRNAs. Cellular RNase Ps are ribonucleoproteins. Lineage: Bacteria; Pseudomonadati; Pseudomonadota; Alphaproteobacteria. The record is from RNAcentral.
UCAGGCGGUCGGACGGCUGCUCCCUAAGGGGAGAGGAAAGUCCGGGCUCCAAGGAGAAAGGGCGCCGGGUAACGCCCGGCCGGUUUUUCCAGAGAUGGGAAACCCGAGGGAUAGCGUCACAGAGAUUGAACCGCCCCGCUUGCGGGGUAAGGGUGAAAAGGUGCGGUAAGAGCGCACCGCUCGUCCGGCGACGGAUGAGGCAUGGCAAGCCCCGCCCGGAGCAAUGCCGAAUAGGGACCGCACGCCCGCAAGGGCCGGGGCGUCUCCGCCUCGAGCGGUCCGGGUUGGCAGCUGGAGACGCCGCGCAAGCGUCGUCCAAGAGGAAUGGCCGUCCCUUCGCAGGAAGGACAGAACCCGGCUUACAGACCGCCUGACGCG